UACGGAGGAUCCAAGCGUUAUCCGGAUUUAUUGGGCUUAAAGGGUGCGUAGGCGGCUUUAUAAGUCAGGGGUGAAAGACGGCAGCUUAACUGUCGCAGUGCCUUUGAUACUGUAGAGCUUGAAUUUGAUUGAAGAUGGCGGAAUGAGACAAGUAGCGGUGAAAUGCGUAGAUAUGUCUCGGAACUCCGAUUGCGGAGGCAGCUGUCUAAGCGGCAAUUGACGCUGAUGCACGAAAGCGUGGGGAUCAAACAGG
RNAcentral lists this ribosomal RNA (253 nucleotides) under uncultured Sphingobacterium sp. Its description in RNAcentral is "partial 16S ribosomal RNA". It matches the Rfam family "Bacterial small subunit ribosomal RNA", at positions 524 to 776 of the family's 1533-position model. The record is from RNAcentral. Lineage: Bacteria; Pseudomonadati; Bacteroidota; Sphingobacteriia; Sphingobacteriales; Sphingobacteriaceae.